Molecule: ribosomal RNA, 605 nt
Filed under: uncultured bacterium
Lineage: Bacteria
Description: bacterial SSU rRNA
Rfam family: Bacterial small subunit ribosomal RNA
Source: RNAcentral
GCUGGCGGCGUGCUUAACACAUGCAAGUCGAACGUGAAGCCCGAUGCUUGCAUUGGGUGGAAAGUGGCGGACGGGUGCGUAACACGUUGGUGACCUACCUCGAGGAGGGGGACAACCCUGGGAAACCAGGGCUAAUACCCCGGAUGUCAAGGAGUUUAGACGCCCUUGACUAAAGCUUCGGCGCCUUGAGAUGGGCCUGCGGGCUUCAGCUUGUUGGUGGGGUAAUGGCUUACCAAGGCUAAGACGGCUAGGGGGCGUGAGAGCGCGACCCCCCACAAUGGAACUGAGACACGGUCCAUACUCCUACGGGAGGCAGCAGUGAGGAAUAUUGCGCAAUGGGGGCAACCCUGACGCAGCAACGCCGCGUGGACGAAGAAGGCCUUCGGGUUGUAAAGUCCUUUUCUGAGGGGCGAUAAUGACGGUACCUCAGGAAUAAGUCCCGGCUAACUACGUGCCAGCAGCCGCGGUAAAACGUAGGGGGCGAGCGUUAUCCGGAAUUACUGGGCGUAAAGCGCACGUAGGUGGCGCUACAAGUUGGAUGUGAAAGCUCCCGGCUUAACUGGGAGAGGUCAUUCAAAACUGUAGUGCUCGAGGCUGAAAGAGGA